UACAGAGGGGGCAAGCGUUGUUCGGAAUUACUGGGCGUAAAGGGCGCGUAGGCGGCCAACUAAGUCAGACGUGAAAUCCCCAGGCUCAACCUGGGAACUGCGUCUGAUACUGGAUGGCUCGAGUUCGGGAGAGGGAAGUGGAAUUCCAGGUGUAGCGGUGAAAUGCGUAGAUAUGCGGAGGAACACCGAUGGCGAAGGCAAUCCCCUGGGCCUGCACUGACGCUCAUGCACGAAAGCGUGGGGAGCAAACAGG
RNAcentral lists this ribosomal RNA (253 nucleotides) under uncultured bacterium. Its description in RNAcentral is "partial 16S ribosomal RNA". It matches the Rfam family "Bacterial small subunit ribosomal RNA", at positions 524 to 776 of the family's 1533-position model. The record is from RNAcentral.